RNAcentral lists this ribosomal RNA (158 nucleotides) under Leucosyke quadrinervia. Its description in RNAcentral is "5.8S ribosomal RNA". The stretch from base 25 to 158 matches the Rfam family "5.8S ribosomal RNA". From Rfam's summary of the family: 5.8S ribosomal RNA (5.8S rRNA) is a component of the large subunit of the eukaryotic ribosome. It is transcribed by RNA polymerase I as part of the 45S precursor that also contains 18S and 28S rRNA. Lineage: Eukaryota; Viridiplantae; Streptophyta; Magnoliopsida; Rosales; Urticaceae. The record is from RNAcentral.
CCCGUUCGCAAAAUGUCCCUUAACGACUCUCGGCAACGGAUAUCUCGGCUCUCGCAUCGAUGAAGAACGUAGCGAAAUGCGAUACUUGGUGUGAAUUGCAGAAUCCCGCGAACCAUCGAGUUUUUGAACGCAAGUUGCGCCCGAAGCCUUCGGGCCGA